UCUGGCUUCCGUCCUUCCAGUCCUGGCCCUGCUUCUACUGCUCCUGGCCUCUGCUCUGUCUCUGUCCAAGGACGCAGUCCCUGGGAAAGGCUGCCCUAGCCCACUUUCUGAAACAAUUAAAACAAUGGUGCUUUCUAUGACAACGUCAAGAGCAACCUCCAGAACAAACCUUGGGCCCCCUUCAGACCCCACCCAAGGGACUGGAGUGCAUGAAGGUCCUGCAGCUCGGGGAGAAAACUGCACAGGGUGGACCUUCGGGACAGACUUCCUCUUCUGUGGUCUUGCCCAGCUUUGUUCCAAGGUCAAAUUGCCUGUGGCUACUGGCCUUGUAACUCGCCAGCUUUAUCCACAGCCCCAGGUUGGUCCGUUUCAGUGGGGAGAGUGGCUGGCACCACUGGGACCUUCCUCAACAAGCAGAGGCUCUAUGACAAAUAUAGUUGGGUAUCGGCCAAUUAGAAUGUCAAGGAGGAGAUCCAGCUCUGGGCUAACUGCAGCUGUCUCUGGAAGGAAGUGGAAGGAGAGCAGCCAGUGAGGGAUGCCAAAGCCUUGAAGUCAUAGCCACAAUGAACUUCCUUAUAUACAAAUCUCUGGGAGAUGAGCCAAUGUUUCUGCAGAAGAGGUUUCUCUCGUGAACCUUCUCUGAGGGUCUUCAACAGCCAUAAACUUUCACCCAGAGUCAUCAGAGCAACCCCAUAAAGACAAACCAUGGCCCCUACUGCAUAAAAUAAGAUUUCAGCUAUGAUUCAUGAACUAAAUUCAGCACAGCCCUUGUGAUCGUGCCAAACUGGCUCUGCUGGGGGUCCUCACAGCCUGACUUACUCCUCCACCCCAGGUGACAGGAAAGGGGCACAGCUCGCCUGGUCUGGUCACCGGAAUUCCGAGACUGAAGGAGUAGAGGAGCCACAGCCCGCUGUCUGAAGUGGGGGUGUGGGCAGAUAGUGCCCCCCCAGAAUGAUGGAGAGCCUAAGGACACAAGCCCCGGGCUAGAGAGACUUGGGUUCGAGUUGCAGCUCCGCGACUUUUCCAAAGGCGUUUUCUUGGCAACCCGGAUUUCAGGUUUCUCAUCUGUAAGAUGGAGGUGAUACUGGUAUUUACCUCCCAGUGCACUGGGGGAAUUGAUACAAAGCAUAAUUACAGGGAGAGAGCAGGCUGGUCACUGACACUUAGCCACCUGGCAUUUACGAGGUUCUAACUAGCAGGAUUGGGAACGGAAAAUUGUGCCACUCGCAUUCACCUUAAACUUAUUUCAUUGUAAAGGAAUAGUGUUGUUGCCUUUUCCGUUGUUCCCUUUUUAUUAUCUUUCCACCCCCACAUCUCAAUUCCGCAUGGAACUUCAGGUAAAACAUCAUUUCUAUGCUUUGAGGAGGGGUCCCGGAGACCUUGGUCUCUGAGGAUUAAUAUUGUGGUUCCGUGACAGGACAGGUGUUAGAGAAAUGUGAACACCUUGGGCUGGGUAGCAGGAACAGUCGGGCUCCAGAGUCAAGCAAACCUGGGUAGAAAGCAAGGGCUUCUGUGGAUUGGUUGUGUGUCUUUGGCACGUUUCUUCAC
Long non-coding RNA from Panthera uncia (snow leopard), 1548 nucleotides. RefSeq lists it as uncharacterized. The record is from RefSeq and is a predicted model, not a curated record. Lineage: Eukaryota; Metazoa; Chordata; Mammalia; Carnivora; Felidae. The transcript is spliced from 4 exons.